Long non-coding RNA from Callithrix jacchus (white-tufted-ear marmoset), 524 nucleotides. RefSeq lists it as uncharacterized. The record is from RefSeq and is a predicted model, not a curated record. Lineage: Eukaryota; Metazoa; Chordata; Mammalia; Primates; Cebidae.
GAAUAUCGGUGACCUGCCGUGGGAGGAAGGGAGAGAUGCUUGUUGGGCAGCAAUGAGAAGUGUUUUAAUGAACUAAGAAGAGACUUUCCAGAUGGCUGUGUUUGAUGCUGCCAACUCUACCAGAUGGAGAGGGUUCCCUCACCUGUACCGAAUCUGUACCUCUCUCCAGUUGUUUCCUGUCAAACUUGGAUUCCUGAAUGAGAUAACACUGGAAAUGGCUGAGUUAAAUGGACAUUUGUUAUUUCCAGUUAUGACUUAAUCCCUGGUUAUGAUUUAUAUCUGGUUUUAUCCUUAAUCCCUUUCUGCUCAUUUACCUUAGUGAAUCAGGUAGAACCAUUUAUAAACUCAAUAUUUCUCUCCCAUUUUCCUUUAUUUUAGCCAGAGGCCUAAGCCAGAACUGGCUUAGGUAUGAGAAGCCAGUCUCUGGGGUUGCUUUUCUCUUUGGUGCUGCAUAUUCCUCUGGAUAAAAACAAUUCCCAAAGUGAUGGCUCAGCCAAUGCUGUUUUGUAGUCUAGAGGCAGAAG